UACGGAGGAUGCAAGCGUUAUCCGGAUUUAUUGGGUUUAAAGGGUGCGUAGGCGGAAUAGUAAGUCAGUGGUGAAAGCCUGCGGCUUAACCGUAGAAUUGCCAUUGAUACUGUUAUUCUUGAGUGUAGUUGAGGUGGGCGGAAUGUGUAAUGUAGCGGUGAAAUGCUUAGAUAUUACACAGAACACCGAUUGCGAAGGCAGCUCACUAAGCUAUAACUGACGCUGAGGCACGAAAUCGUGGGGAGCAAACAGGAUUAGAUA
This 261-nucleotide ribosomal RNA is filed under the name uncultured prokaryote. Its description in RNAcentral is "partial 16S ribosomal RNA". It matches the Rfam family "Bacterial small subunit ribosomal RNA", at positions 524 to 784 of the family's 1533-position model. The record is from RNAcentral.